CGCGGGGUGGAGCAGCUCGGUAGCUCGCUGGGCUCAUAACCCAGAGGUCGCAUGGUUCAAAUCCUGCCCCCGCUA
Molecule: transfer RNA, 75 nt
Filed under: Streptomyces europaeiscabiei
Lineage: Bacteria; Bacillati; Actinomycetota; Actinomycetes; Kitasatosporales; Streptomycetaceae
Also listed under: 9 other names
Description: tRNA-Met
Rfam family: tRNA
About the family: Transfer RNA (tRNA) molecules are approximately 80 nucleotides in length.
Source: RNAcentral